RNAcentral lists this ribosomal RNA (361 nucleotides) under uncultured bacterium. RNAcentral describes it as "partial 16S ribosomal RNA". It matches the Rfam family "Bacterial small subunit ribosomal RNA", at positions 338 to 696 of the family's 1533-position model. The record is from RNAcentral.
CCUACGGGUGGCAGCAGUGAGGAAUAUUGGUCAAUGGUCGAGAGUCUGAACCAGCCAAGCAGCGUGAAGGAUGACGGCCCUAUGGGUUGUAAACUCUUUUUAUAUGGGAAUAAAACAUGGUAUGCAUACCCUCUUGUAUGUACCAUAUGAAUAAGGAUAGGCUCACCCCGUGCCAGCAGCCGCGGUAAUACGGUGGAUCCGAGCGUUAUCCGGAUGUAUUGGGUUUAAAGGGAGCGUAGGUGGAGUGUUAAGUCAGUUGUGAAAGUUUGCGGCUCAACCGUGGAAUUGCAGUUGAAACUGGGAGGCUUGAGUACAGUAGAGGUGGGCGGAAUUCGAGGUGUAGCGGUGAAAUGCUUAGAUA